GAUGAACGCUGGCGGCGUGCUUAAUACAUGCAAGUCGAACGCUAAAGCUUGGUGCUUGCACCGAGCGGGUGUGUCGCGCACGGGUGAGUCACGCGUAGGUACCCCGCUUCUUAGCGGGGGAUCACUAUGGGACACGAUAUCUUACACCGCAUAAGAGUCGGUAUCGCGUGGUGUUGAUGUGAAAGGCGCCAAUGCAUCACGAAGUGACGGAUCUUCGGUGUGUUAGGUAGUUGGUGAGGUAACGGCGCACCAAGGGGUCGAUGCAUAGACGAACUGAGCGGGUGGGCGGCCACACUGGGACUGAGACACGGCCCAGACGCCCACGGGAGGCAGCAGUAGGGAAUCUUCGGCAAUGGGGGCAACCCUGACCGAGAAACGCCGAGUGAGUGAAGAAGGUUGUCGGGUCGGAAAGCUCGGUUGUAAGGGAAGAAAGAGUGUGAGAGUGGAAAGUUCACAGUGUGACGGUAACGGACCAGAAAGCAACGGCUAACUACGUG
Molecule: ribosomal RNA, 497 nt
Filed under: uncultured bacterium
Lineage: Bacteria
Description: partial 16S ribosomal RNA
Rfam family: Bacterial small subunit ribosomal RNA
Source: RNAcentral